Molecule: long non-coding RNA, 561 nt
Organism: Hevea brasiliensis (rubber tree)
Lineage: Eukaryota; Viridiplantae; Streptophyta; Magnoliopsida; Malpighiales; Euphorbiaceae
Exons: 2
Source: RefSeq, a predicted model, not a curated record
GCCUAUCCUUAGGAACCACGGAAGUCAAAUCUCUGUCCCGAGCAUUUUUGUUCAAAAUGUAUAAUAAUGCCAUGCGCUUCGCGGCCUCUAUUGCAGUGCAGCCUGCAGCUAUAAAAGAGAAACAACUGAUGAUAAGGAUUUAACCAUCGAAUUUUUAUUUUAUAAAAUAUGGCGCACAGGAGUUUAUUCUUUCUUAUUUACAUAAUCAGCUUGCUGGUCUUUUUCUUGUUCCCAUCUGAGAUGGUCCUAGCCAAACAAGUCCAAGUCCCAAAAACCAAAGAGCAGCUAAAAAAUUUUGAGGAAAGUAAAACUGGCGCAGGUGGAAGUUUUUCACGACGUGGAGGACAUGGGAAGCCCCCAAAUCACGGCUAGAAGUUCCCCCCCGUUAGUGGCCUUCCCUAGCGGCUCCAUCCAAGCUGUUUCUCUACAGAGGAUUAAUCGCUGCAAAGGAAGCAUAUAUGUCUACACCCAUAACCGCAAAUUACCUUAUAUAUAUAUAUAUAUAAUGGUGAAAUAAUGUAUUAUAUUCUCAUAAAUAUACUAUUUAAUUUUGGACGUUUA